This 55-nucleotide transfer RNA is filed under the name Phytophthora infestans (potato late blight agent). It matches the Rfam family "tRNA", at positions 10 to 63 of the family's 71-position model. Rfam says of the family: Transfer RNA (tRNA) molecules are approximately 80 nucleotides in length. RNAcentral also lists the same sequence under 1 other name. Lineage: Eukaryota; Oomycota; Peronosporomycetes; Peronosporales; Peronosporaceae. The record is from Rfam by way of RNAcentral.
GCUCAGUGGUCGAGCUUUGGCUUUGGAAGCCACAGGUCGGUGGUUUGAUUCCACC